UCUAAGCUAAAUGAACCUGAAG
RNAcentral lists this microRNA (22 nucleotides) under Heliconius melpomene (postman butterfly). RNAcentral describes it as "hme-miR-6306-3p". Lineage: Eukaryota; Metazoa; Arthropoda; Insecta; Lepidoptera; Nymphalidae. The record is from miRBase by way of RNAcentral.